GACGAACGCUGGCGGCGUGCUUAACACAUGCAAGUCGAGCGGUAAGGCCCUUUCGGGGGUACACGAGCGGCGAACGGGUGAGUAACACGUGGGUGACCUGCCCUCAGCUCUGGGAUAAGCCCGGGAAACUGGGUCUAAUACCGGAUAUGACUCCAUGACGCAUGUUGUGGGGUGGAAAGCCUUGUGCGGCUGAGGAUGGGCCCGCGGCCUAUCAGCUUGUUGGUGGGGUGAUGGCCACCAAGCGACGACGGGUAGCCGGCCUGAGAGGGCGACCGGCCACACUGGGACUGAGAUACGGCCCAGACUCCUACGGGAGGCAGCAGUGGGGAAUCUUGCGCAAUGGCGAAAGCCUGACGCAGCGACGCCGCGUGAGGGAUGACGGCCUCGGUUGUAACGUCUU
RNAcentral lists this ribosomal RNA (400 nucleotides) under uncultured bacterium. Its description in RNAcentral is "bacterial SSU rRNA". It matches the Rfam family "Bacterial small subunit ribosomal RNA", at positions 28 to 435 of the family's 1533-position model. The record is from RNAcentral.